UACGAAGGGGGCUAGCGUUGUUCGGAAUUACUGGGCGUAAAGCGCGCGCAGGCGGUUUCUCAAGUCAGUGGUGAAAGCCCGGAGCUCAACUCCGGAACUGCCAUUGAAACUGUGAAACUUGAGGACGAGAGAGGUGAGUGGAAUUCCCAGUGUAGAGGUGAAAUGCGUAGAGAUCGGAAAGAACACCAACGGCGAAAGCACUCUGCUGGGCCGACACUGACACUGAGAGACGAAAGCUAGGGGAGCGAAUGGG
Molecule: ribosomal RNA, 253 nt
Filed under: uncultured bacterium
Lineage: Bacteria
Description: partial 16S ribosomal RNA
Rfam family: Bacterial small subunit ribosomal RNA
Source: RNAcentral